GCGCGCGCCGCGACCGUUAACAGCUGUGGGUGCACGCGCCGCGACCGUUAACGGCCGCCUCUGUGUGAGGAGAGGCUGGGCGGGCUUCGCGUCCACAGCAGCUCCCGCGCAACAGCCGUCUCCGCGUUGAGGGACGAGGGAAGCGAUGCUCGCAGCUCACACACAGCCCUCCGAGAUGCCUCUGUUGGUGCUGUUGCAGAUGUCUGGACUUCAAAAUCCGUUCCUCUGCUUGCUUUGUGCCAAUUCCUGUUUUUGGAUUCAGGGGACAACCCUUAGGGUGAAGUUGUCAUGAAUUCAGCUACUCAGUUGUCAUCUUCACUGGAGCUGGUUGAGUCAUUCCCACAUGAACCUUCAUCAAACAAUAAUCAGUGAUCAGAAAGGCAUCUGAAGAAAAUCAUUGAUGAGAUGGAAGAAUUGAUAACUGGAAUCAGAUCAGAAGGGUGUUUGAAGAAAUAAGUGAAAGCAAAUUGUGGUUCUCGUUCUUUCUACUUAAGGGUAAUAAAAUAGGUAGUUUACCCACAGGUUGCUGAGUUUUGAGCAUGAUACUAAUGCAUGAGAUGGUGAAUUUGUGACAGGCAGG
RNAcentral lists this long non-coding RNA (580 nucleotides) under Gallus gallus (chicken). Lineage: Eukaryota; Metazoa; Chordata; Aves; Galliformes; Phasianidae. The record is from RNAcentral.